AAGUCGUAACAAGGUUUCCGUAGGUGAACCUGCGGAAGGAUCAUUACUGAGUUAGGGUUCUUUAUAGGCCCGACCUCCAACCCUGUGUCUAUCUAACCACGUUGCUUCGGCGGGCCUGUCUUGUCGAUUCAGGACUGCCGGGGGGUCUUACCACCCCUGGCUCGUGCCCGUCGGUGGCCUCAACUUAAAAACUCUUGAUAAACUGUGUCGUCUGAGUCUUAAUUAAAAUUAAACAAAA
RNAcentral lists this unclassified non-coding RNA (238 nucleotides) under plant metagenome. Its description in RNAcentral is "partial contains small subunit ribosomal RNA and internal transcribed spacer 1". The stretch from base 1 to 46 matches the Rfam family "Eukaryotic small subunit ribosomal RNA", at positions 1786 to 1831 of the family's 1831-position model. The record is from RNAcentral.